AGACUUGUACUUGGUGGCGACCGGCGCACGGGGUGCGUAACGCGUAUGCAACCUACCUUAUACUGAGGGAUAGCCCAGAGAAAUUUGGAUUAAAUACCUCAAUAGUAUCAUUUUGAAGGCAAUCUGAGAAUGAUUAAAGAUUUAUCGGUAUAAGAUGGGCAUGCGUAAGAUUAGUUAGUUGGUGAGGUAACGGCUCACCAAGACUUCGAUCUUUAGGGGUUCUGAGAGGAUGAUCCCCCACACUGGUACUGAGAUACGGACCAGACUUC
RNAcentral lists this ribosomal RNA (269 nucleotides) under uncultured bacterium. RNAcentral's name for it is "partial 16S ribosomal RNA". The stretch from base 31 to 269 matches the Rfam family "Bacterial small subunit ribosomal RNA", at positions 104 to 339 of the family's 1533-position model. The record is from RNAcentral.